Long non-coding RNA from Monomorium pharaonis (pharaoh ant), 698 nucleotides. RefSeq lists it as uncharacterized. The transcript is spliced from 2 exons. The record is from RefSeq and is a predicted model, not a curated record. NCBI's taxonomy places the organism in Eukaryota, Metazoa, Arthropoda, Insecta, Hymenoptera, Formicidae.
CUUGAAAAUCAAUUAAUGCACAUGUCGCAUGAGAUAUACUUUUUAAAUCACAAAUUGGAGAAUGGUUGACUCGGAGAAAAGCCAGAGAGAAACCGGAUAUUUGGAUUGAGUAUUUAAACAGAUGGAAUAUCGAGAAAAUAACGGCUUAUUUAUCGUCAAGUAUCGCCGACACAAACGAGUAAUACUACUAUCUACGGUCCGCAUUUCAAACAAUUAUCCAGCUGCGAUGAAAGGAACGUGUCUUUUAUUCGGGCACUCGAGCCUACUCGACGUUCCGUGCAAAACAGUGAUAAGUGAUAAAGACCCUUAGGAGAAUUUUAUUUAAUCGUGUAAGUAGGAGAUAUGUCGUCGGAGAGACAAAGAAUUAUAGCACUACUGACAAUGAGAUCGUAUCAUCAUCCAGCUCAUGUUUAUGAUGCGCAAUAUUUUUUCUUUCAAAGUCAUAAAUGUUAAGUAGGAGCGAUGCAGAAUUAUUUAGCAAACUUGUAAAAUUAAUUUAAAUAUACAUACAUCUUUUCUCAAAUAAAAUAAUACUUUUAAAUAAUCUUGCUAUCUUAUUGUAUAUAUAAAAUUGAUAAAACGAUGUUAUGAAUACUAGUUUACAUUAUGAUAUGACAGAACAAAAAUGGGACAUUUUCUAUUGUUAAUUACUAUUUCAUAUUUCAUUGCAAGAUUAUAUGUUUUCACUUACACAAAAA